This is a long non-coding RNA of Cucurbita moschata (crookneck pumpkin), 839 nucleotides long. RefSeq lists it as uncharacterized. The transcript is spliced from 3 exons. Lineage: Eukaryota; Viridiplantae; Streptophyta; Magnoliopsida; Cucurbitales; Cucurbitaceae. The record is from RefSeq and is a predicted model, not a curated record.
UUGAGUGUGAUUUAUUUCAUUCUAUGCACCACACACACACACACAUAUAUAUACUUGUGGGUAUCUGACUUCGUAGGAAUCUGUCGCUUAAUCCAGCUACCCAGAAGUGUAGGAGGUUGCAGCUGCUGCCUGCUUAUCUGACUUACGGGGAUUCAUUAUUGAGUGAUCUGGAAGCUGCCCACUCUAAGGAAUAGACUAAGAUACGUAUAUAAAAUGGUCAUGUGAACACAAUUCAUUAUGAUUCCCUCACUGCAGACCUCAUAAUAAUUUUAAUUUUCUUGAAUGGUAAGCCUUUUUUCUUUAUUCAUUUAUUUUUUAAAAAGAAAAUUGAUUAUAAAAGCCGCUUUCAAUAUCAACAAAAUUUUGCAAAUCAAAACAGACUGCAAAGUUAAUUUAUAUAAAUUAGUAUAUCUCCAAAUUAGCCCUUUAUUUAGUUUGACGUCACUAAUGACGUUGUUACGUCAGCAAUGACUACUUUCUUUCCCCUCUUGAAGGUUCUACUUUUCUCUCUGUAACCAUUUCACGUCAGCAAUGACGUCAUAUUAUUUAUUUGUUUUUCCUUUCCAUGAAAAAUCUUUUCGAGUCAAGCCAACCCCUUUGAAAAAUAGGUAUUAUACGCAUUUUCUUCUUUUACAAAUGGCAUAUUCUCAUUUUGUUUGACAAUUAUGGGAUACCCGAAUUUGAUUUUGUUUAUUACGUUUUUCAAUUAUUACUUUUAUUUCUUUUCAUACAAAGAUUUAUACCUCAAACAUCAUUCAUUUUAUUCAACAAUCAUAAAAUUAAUUAGGCUUUUUUUUUUCUAAUCUAGUAUUUAAACUAAUCUUUUGUAUUUUUGUUAA